RNAcentral lists this ribosomal RNA (433 nucleotides) under uncultured bacterium. RNAcentral describes it as "partial 16S ribosomal RNA". It matches the Rfam family "Bacterial small subunit ribosomal RNA", at positions 29 to 507 of the family's 1533-position model. The record is from RNAcentral.
AACGAACGCUGGCGGCAUGCCUAACACAUGCAAGUCGAACGAGACCUUCGGGUCUAGUUGCGCACGGGUGCGUAACGCGUGGGAACCUGCCCUUAGGUUCGGUAUAACUCCCCGAAAGGGGUGCUAAUACCGGAUAAUGUCUUCGGACCAAAGAUUUAUCGCCUUUGGAUGGGCCCGCGUUGGAUUAGCUAGUUGGUAGGGUAAAAGCCUACCAAGGCGACGAUCCAUAGCUGGUCUGAGAGGAUGGUCAGCCACACUGGGACUGAGACCCGGCCCAGACUCCUGCGGGAGGAAGCAGUGGGGAAUAUUGGACAAUGGGCGAAAGCCUGAUCAAGCAAUGCCGCGGGAGUGAUGAAGGCGGUAGGGUUGUAAAGCUCUUUUACCCGGGAUGAUAAUGACAGUACCGGGAGAAUAAGCUCCGGCUAACUCCGUG